GGAAGGAUCAUUACUGGGUUUUUGGGCUCUGCCCGCCACCCGCCCUCUGUUAUUUAGUGACUAUUGUUUCGGCCAGGGGCAACCCGGCCGGCAGUAACUCUGAGGAAAUUUGAAGUCUGAUACUCUGAAAACAAAAAAAAACUUUCAACAACGGAUCUCUUGGUUCUGGCAACGAUGAAGAACGCAGCGAAAUGCGAUAAGUAAUGUGAAUUGCAGAAUUCAGUGAAUCAUCGAAUCUUUGAACGCACAUUGCGCCCACUGGUAUUCCGGUGGGCACGCCUGUCCGAGCGCCAUUACACCCCCCAAGCUUUGCUUGAUGUUGGGCGAUGCCUAGGCACGCCCCAAACUCCUGGGCGCCUGCCGCCGGCCGCUAGCGUAGCAAACUACUCGCUCGCGUGUCCGUCGGGAGGCCGCCCCCGAACUUUCUUUCUGAGAUUUGGCCUCGGAUCAGGCGGGGAUACCCGCUGAACUUAAGCAUAUCAAUAAGCGGAGGAAAAGAAACCAACAGGGAUUGCCCCAGUAACGGCGAGUGAAGCGGCAACAGCUCAAAUUUGAAAUCUGGUACCUUCGGUGCCCGAGUUGUAAUUUGUAGAGGGUGUCUCGGGGGGAGUGCCGGUCCAAGUCCCUUGGAACAGGAUGUCAUAGAGGGUGAGAACCCCGUAUCCGGCUGGUCACUCCGUCCAUGUGAGACCCCUUCGACGAGUCGAGUUGUUUGGGAAUGCAGCUCUAAAUGGGUGGUAAAUUCCAUCUAAAGCUAAAUACCGGCCAGAGACCGAUAGCGCACAAGUAGAGUGAUCGAAAGAUGAAAAGCACUUUGAAAAGAGAGUCAAACAGUACGUGAAAUUGUUGAAAGGGAAGCGUAUGCGGCCAGACUUGCCCGCGGUUGCUCAGCCUGUCUUCUGGCAGGUGUACUCUUCCGCGGUCAGGCCAGCAUCGGUUUGGGCGGUCGGACAAAGGCGCUGGGAAUGUGGCCCCUCGGGGUGUUAUAGCCCAGCGUGCAAUGCGACCCGCCCGGACCGAGGCCCGCGUUCUGCUAGGAUGCUGGCGUAAUGGCCGUAUACGGCCCGUCUUGAAACACGGACCAAGGAGUCUAACAUCUAUGCGAGUGUUUGGGUGUCAAGCCCGGGCGCGCAAUGAAAGUGAACGGAGGUGGGAGCCCUCUCGGGGGCGCACCAUCGACCGAUCCUGAUGUCUUCGGAUGGAUUUGAGUAAGAGCAUAGCUGAUAGGACCCGAAAGAUGGUGAACUAUGCGUGAAUAGGGUGAAGCCAGAGGAAACUCUGGUGGAGGCUCGCAGCGGUUCUGACGUGCAAAUCGAUCGUCAAAUUUGCGUAUAGGGGCGAAAGACUAAUCGAACCAUUUAGUAGCUGGUUCCUGC
RNAcentral lists this unclassified non-coding RNA (1376 nucleotides) under uncultured Venturiales. Its description in RNAcentral is "sequence contains 18S rRNA gene, ITS1, 5.8S rRNA gene, ITS2, 28S rRNA gene". The stretch from base 438 to 1376 matches the Rfam family "Eukaryotic large subunit ribosomal RNA", at positions 1 to 961 of the family's 3401-position model. The record is from RNAcentral. Lineage: Eukaryota; Fungi; Ascomycota; Dothideomycetes.